This 469-nucleotide ribosomal RNA is filed under the name Streptococcus anginosus. Its description in RNAcentral is "bacterial SSU rRNA". It matches the Rfam family "Bacterial small subunit ribosomal RNA", at positions 28 to 471 of the family's 1533-position model. The record is from RNAcentral. Lineage: Bacteria; Bacillati; Bacillota; Bacilli; Lactobacillales; Streptococcaceae.
GACGAACGCUGGCGGCGUGCCUAAUACAUGCAAGUAGGACGCACAGUCUAUACCGUAGCUUGCUACACCAUAGGCUGUGAGUUGCGAACGGGUGAGUAACGCGUAGGUAACCUGCCUAUUAGAGGGGGAUAACUAUUGGAAACGAUAGCUAAUACCGCAUAACAGUAUGUAACACAUGUUAGAUGCUUGAAAGAUGCAAUUGCAUCGCUAGUAGAUGGACCUGCGUUGUAUUAGCUAGUAGGUAGGGUAAUGGCCUACCUAGGCGACGAUACAUAGCCGACCUGAGAGGGUGAUCGGCCACACUGGGACUGAGACACGGCCCAGACUCCUACGGGAGGCAGCAGUAGGGAAUCUUCGGCAAUGGGGGGAACCCUGACCGAGCAACGCCGCGUGAGUGAAGAAGGUUUUCGGAUCGUAAAGCUCUGUUGUUAAGGAAGAACGAGUGUGAGAAUGGAAAGUUCAUACUGUG